CUACGGGCCGCACCAGCCGAGAAUCUUCCACAAUGGACUAACGUCUGAUGGAGCGACGCCGCGUGCGGGAAGAAAGUCUUCGGACUGUAAACCGCUUUUAUAGGGGAGCAAUUUUUGAGCGUACCCUAUGAAUAAGAGGUUGCUAACUCUGUGCCAGCAGCCGCGGUAAUACAGAGACCUCAAGCGUUAUCCGGAUUUAUUGGGCGUAAGGGUCCGUAGGGGGUUUAAUAAGCUGAAUGUAAAAUCUCUCAGCCUAACUGAGAGAGCGCAUUCAGAACUAUUAGACUAGAGCACAUCAGAGGCCAUUGGAACUCACGGUGUAGGGGUGGAAUCCGUUGAUAUCGUGGGGAACACCAAAGGCGAAGGCAUUUGGCUGGGGUGUUGCUGACCCUGAGGGACGAAAGCUAGGGUAGCGAAUGGGAUUAGAUACCCCGGUAGUC
Molecule: ribosomal RNA, 440 nt
Filed under: uncultured bacterium
Lineage: Bacteria
Description: partial 16S ribosomal RNA
Rfam family: Bacterial small subunit ribosomal RNA
Source: RNAcentral